UAUAUGAAAUUUAUAUUAAAUGUGUACUUUAUCUACGUUAAAGAAAAAAAGAUUUAGAAAAAAUAGUUCUUAUGACGAAAUGAAUUGACAAUGCUAUGUGUGCUAGUUCCAAUCAACAAACGUAGUCACCAAAUAAAUAAAUAAACUAGUCAAAUUCGAAUUAAUUAUAAGAAGAAAAUGCGAAGUAAAUUAGUCGUACUCAUCAAUAAUACUGGAACAUACC
This 223-nucleotide long non-coding RNA is filed under the name Brassica napus (rape). Its description in RNAcentral is "long non-coding RNA (BNAP_LNC002828)". The record is from RNAcentral. Lineage: Eukaryota; Viridiplantae; Streptophyta; Magnoliopsida; Brassicales; Brassicaceae.